UCGUACGUGUAGCCAGCAGCUUGCUGCUUCGCUGACGAGUGGCGGACGGGUGAGUAAUGUCUGGGAAACUGCCUGAUGGAGGGGGAUAACUACUGGAAACGGUAGCUAAUACCGCAUAACGUCGCAAGACCAAAGAGGGGGACCUUCGGGCCUCUUGCCAUCGGAUGUGCCCAGAUGGGAUUAGCUAGUAGGUGGGGUAACGGCUCACCUAGGCGACGAUCCCUAGCUGGUCUGAGAGGAUGACCAGCCACACUGGAACUGAGACACGGUCCAGACUCCUACGGGAGGCAGCAGUGGGGAAUAUUGCACAAUGGGCGCAAGCCUGAUGCAGCCAUGCCGCGUGUAUGAAGAAGGCCUUCGGGUUGUAAAGUACUUUCAGCGGGGAGGAAGGUGUUGAGGUUAAUAACCUCAGCAAUUGACGUUACCCGCAGAAGAAGCACCGGCUAACUCCGUGCCAGCAGCCGCGGUAAUACGGAGGGUGCAAGCGUUAAUCGGAAUUACUGGGCGUAAAGCGCACGCAGGCGGUCUGUCAAGUCGGAUGUGAAAUCCCCGGGCUCAACCUGGGAACUGCAUUCGAAACUGGCAGGCUAGAGUCUUGUAGAGGGGGG
This 608-nucleotide ribosomal RNA is filed under the name Enterobacter sp. Its description in RNAcentral is "bacterial SSU rRNA". It matches the Rfam family "Bacterial small subunit ribosomal RNA", at positions 62 to 661 of the family's 1533-position model. Lineage: Bacteria; Pseudomonadati; Pseudomonadota; Gammaproteobacteria; Enterobacterales; Enterobacteriaceae. The record is from RNAcentral.